GUUAGUUUUGCAUUUGAUUCAAGUUUGGGUAUAUGUUUGGGAUUAAAAUCAAGUUGUGGGUUAGUUUUGGCAAAAAUUCCUAGUAAGAAAUGCUAUUGAUAGAGAAAUUCUUUCUAGUAAACAUAUUUUAAAAUUAGACUGUGUAGAUAUUGACAUAGUAAGAAAAUCACGCUUUCUGAUAUAUAGUCAUAGUCAAAUAUAUUAUACUUGUUUUAGUAUAUAUGCUUUGGAUAUUCUACCUUAUGCGAAUUUCAAAAAGAAAGAAAAAAAAAUCAUUUCCACUUUUAAAUAGUUGAAUUUUAGGAGAUAUAUAAAAUACCAUCAUAUAUAUAAACACAAACAUAGAACACAAAUUUUUAUAGAAAAUAAAAUUAAAGCACAUAGAAAAUUCUCCUACUAUCUCAAAUUGACAAAAUCUUAAUUUUUGUUGUUCUGAUAUUGAUCAUGGCCAAAUUAUCGUGUUCGUAUUUCUUCUUAUUCAUGUUUGUGUUUUCAGUAUUUGCGGUGGCUCAGGAAACUAAGGGAAAUCAAUUAUGUACUAAGAUCAUCGAUGAACAAAAUUAUUGCGAGGGUACGGAUUGUCGUCUAGCAUGUUAUACGGGGUACAAUGGAGUUGGAAAAUGUCUUACAAAUUCCAAAGCUGGUGGAAAACUUAGUUGUUUUUGUACUUAUAAUUGCUAGAAAAGAAAAAUUUUAAAUAAAAAUAUUGUAUAACUACAUAAGUCUUUAAUCUAUAUGAAUAAAAAAUGAGAAUUUCUUCAA
Molecule: long non-coding RNA, 762 nt
Organism: Brassica napus (rape)
Lineage: Eukaryota; Viridiplantae; Streptophyta; Magnoliopsida; Brassicales; Brassicaceae
Exons: 2
Source: RefSeq, a predicted model, not a curated record